GUGCCAGCAGCAGCGGUAAUACGUAGGGUGCAAGCGUUGUCCGGAUUUAUUGGGUUUAAAGGGUGCGUAGGCGGCCUGUUAAGUCAGUGGUGAAAUCCAACAGCUCAACUGUUGAUGUGCCAAUGAUACUGACGGGCUUGAGUACAGACGAGGUAGGCGGAAUUGACAGUGUAGCGGUGAAAUGCAUAGAUAUUGUCAAGAACACCGAUAGCGAAGGCAGCUUGCUAGCCUGUAACUGACGCUGAGGCACGAAAGUGUGGGGAUCAAACAGGAUUAGAUACCCUGGUAGUCCACACUGUAAACGAUGAUUACUCGAUGUUGGCGAUACACAGUCAGCGUCUUAGCAAAGCGAUAAGUAAUCCACCUGGGGAGUACGCCGGCAACGGUGAAACUCAAAUGAAUUGACGG
RNAcentral lists this ribosomal RNA (408 nucleotides) under uncultured bacterium. RNAcentral's name for it is "bacterial SSU rRNA". It matches the Rfam family "Bacterial small subunit ribosomal RNA", at positions 505 to 916 of the family's 1533-position model. The record is from RNAcentral.